Molecule: ribosomal RNA, 408 nt
Filed under: Theileria ex Connochaetes taurinus
Lineage: Eukaryota; Apicomplexa; Aconoidasida; Piroplasmida; Theileriidae
Description: bacterial SSU rRNA
Rfam family: Eukaryotic small subunit ribosomal RNA
Source: RNAcentral
AUAUUAAAAAUUGUGGCAGUUAAAAAGCUGGUAGUUGAACUUCUGCUCCAUUGUUUUUUCUCCUUGAGGAGUUGAUGCAUUGUGGCUUAUUUCGGUCGUGGUUUUCCUCGUCCGGAUUUUUACUUUGAGAAAAUUAGAGUGCUCAAACCAGGCUUUUCCCUGGAAUAGUUUAGCAGGGAAUAAUGAAGUAGGACUUGGGUUUUAUUUUGUUGGUUUGUGUACCAAAGUAAUGGUUAAUAGGAACAGUUGGGGGCAUUCCUAUUUAACUGUCAAAAGUGAAAUUCUUGGAUUUGUUAAAGACGAACUACUGCGAAAGCAUUUGCCAAGGAUGUUUCCCUUAAUCAAGAACGAAAGUUAGGGGAUCGAAAACCAUCAGAUACCGUCCUAAUCCUAACCAUAAACUAUGCC